Long non-coding RNA from Malurus melanocephalus (red-backed fairy wren), 358 nucleotides. RefSeq lists it as uncharacterized. The transcript has 3 exons. NCBI's taxonomy places the organism in Eukaryota, Metazoa, Chordata, Aves, Passeriformes, Maluridae. The record is from RefSeq and is a predicted model, not a curated record.
CAGGUGACACUCAGGUGACACUCAGGUGACAUUUCCAGGGUGGCAUGCUGGCUGUCCGCGAGAACCGUUACAUCCAUGGGUGACACUCAGGUGACAUUGGUGACACUGAGGCUCACUCAGGUGACACUGAGGUGACAAUGUCACUGUCCCCAGGGGGGCAUGCUGGCUGUCCGCGAGAACCGUUACAUCCAUGGGUGACACUGAGGCUCACUCAGGUGACACUGAGGUGACAUUGGUGACACUCAGGUGACACUGAGGCUCACUCAGGUGACACUGAGGUGACAUUGGUGACACUGAGGUGACAUUGGUGACACUGAGGUGACAUUUUCAGGGUGGCAUGCUGGCCGUGCGUGAGAAC